GUGGAGGGGGGAUAACUACUGGAAACGGUAGCUAAUACCGCAUAACGUCGCAAGACCAAAGAGGGGGACCUUAGGGCCUCUUGCCAUCGGAUGUGCCCAGAUGGGAUUAGCUAGUAGGUGGGGUAACGGCUCACCUAGGCGACGAUCCCUAGCUGGUCUGAGAGGAUGACCAGCCACACUGGAACUGAGACACGGUCCAG
This 200-nucleotide ribosomal RNA is filed under the name uncultured bacterium. RNAcentral's name for it is "partial 16S ribosomal RNA". It matches the Rfam family "Bacterial small subunit ribosomal RNA", at positions 133 to 334 of the family's 1533-position model. The record is from RNAcentral.